Molecule: ribosomal RNA, 441 nt
Filed under: uncultured bacterium
Lineage: Bacteria
Description: partial 16S ribosomal RNA
Rfam family: Bacterial small subunit ribosomal RNA
Source: RNAcentral
CCUACGGGUGGCAGCAGUGGGGAAUAUUGCACAAUGGGGGAAACCCUGAUGCAGCAACGCCGCGUGGGUGAAGGAGCGUUUCGGCGCGUAAAGCCCUGUCAGCGGGGAAGAAGAAAGAGGUUACCCGACCAAGAAGACCCGGCUAACUACGGCCCAGCAGCCGCGGUAAUACGUAGGGGGCGAGCGUUAUCCGGAAUUACUGGGGGUAAAGGGAGCGUAGACGGCGAGGAAGGCCUGAGGUGAAAGCCCGCGGCCCAACCGCGGAACUGCUUUGGAAACUGUUUUGCUGGAGUAUGGGAGGGGUAAGCGGAAUUCCUGGUGUAGCGGUGAAAUGCGUAGAGAUCAGGAGGAACACCGGUGGCGAAGGCGGCUUACUGGACCAUAACUGACGUUGAGGCUCGAAAGCGUGGGGAGCGAACAGGAUUAGAUACCCGAGUAGUC